CCGGCAGCUCAAGGGGCUGGCAUGGUUGGAAUCUCGCUGGGGCCUCCAGAAAUGUUGCAGCAAAGUGUGUUACAG
This 75-nucleotide microRNA precursor is filed under the name Vicugna pacos (alpaca). RNAcentral's name for it is "miRNA (ENSVPAG00000016845.1)". The record is from RNAcentral. Lineage: Eukaryota; Metazoa; Chordata; Mammalia; Artiodactyla; Camelidae.